UUGAAGGGACCUCAAAGCUCACCCAGCUCCAACCCCUGCCACGGGCAGGGACAUCUUCCACUAGAGCAGCUUGCUCCAACCACUCUCACCCUUGGCUAGAGUCUGGAAUCCCAGUCACUGUUCCCAACAUUAUUCAUUUUGUUACCUGCUAAAACAGACUUUAUUUCAAUUCCUGUGAAUUCUGUGCAGUACACAUCGCUAAACCUAUAGAACACACCUCAAAACGAAAGGGUUGGGUUGGUUGUUUCUUUUGUCCAUACAUUAUAUUACUUUUUAUUGAAUGUCAUCCAAAAUCCAGACAACACCUUUGUCCUUAAAUAAACGUUUCUCCCUCCCCUGCCCUCCCUUCCAAGCUGACUGGUCCGAAAGAGGACGUUUUAUUUAGUUCUUUGCUUUGCUUUAAAAAAAUAGAAAUUACAAUCUUACACGACAGAACAUUCCAUGAGAACAGAAGCAUCUGCCUACAUCUAAAAACAGUUCCAGAAAACCUGUUGGUAUCUACAGUGUGAGGGUUCUGGAGGUGGAAAUGCACACUCAGCUAAACUGCCAGAGCGAACAAACACAAAAUGCAUCUGUGUCUGGACAAGAGCCAUCCCUGGCGCUGAGGCUGCCCCGCUCACAGGAACCACCGGACAUCACAGGUCAGCGCGAUGGCAACGACCCCGAGACACCAAGGACCCGAAGCUGGGGGGCUGGGGGCUCCCAUCCAUCAUCUCCCCCAGCCCCACGCAGCUCCGGUGCAGGGAGAGUGGAAAUCUCCCUUUUCCAGGCAAUUUCUACCCAGGGUUUUCCAUUCGCUCCUUCCCUACAAGCUCGAUGCCUGCCUCUGCAGAGCCACUGCUCUCGGUGGCACAGGGCGAGCGUGAGGGACCUUGGCACAGCCACCGUGGCUGAAAGCAGGGGCUGCAGCCCCAGAGGUGCUCCGGGGGUCCCUGUCACCCCUUCCAACGCGUGCCACCCGUGCCAGGCAGGAGACAAGUCGGUUCCUGUAAAGAGAACUUCAAAGUGCAGGUUCCCACAGUUUGGCAGGUUGAGUUACACACGUUUAAUGCUUCGAGUCUUCCCAAGAUUCCCCAUAGGAAUCCCUUAUUGCUCAGAAUCCCGAAUCUCUCCCGUGAGGUGGGUGCUGUGGCAAGGGCUCCGUCUUCUCCCGAUUUAAGGUGCUUUCUUGGUUUCUUUGCCAGAUGAAAUGAGAACAGUGACAUUGACCAUUGGUGCAUGUUGGCUGACGGAUGCUGAGGACAUAAAUAAAGGUGUGUGUGCUUCCCCCCCCCCAAGCAUUUCAAACCACCCGAGGCUGUUUCCUCCAAGGGAGUGCUGCUGUCCUGCAGAAACAGGGGGCAAGACCCCCUUCCUCAAAGCACAUUGGUCUUCUUGAGUGCUUUUCCCUGCAGAGAGGAGCCAGGAAGCGAACGGUGCUGUCAGAAAUGAUGCUUCAGGAAAAGGCACAACCCUCUAGAUGAACAAGGCAGUGCUGACUUCUCACUCCUCUCCAAGCCUUUAGGAUCCAAGAGGGUCAGGAAACAAGCACGGUGCAUCCCCACCCCGGCGAACACUGCACUGGAGAACAACACAUUGGCACUCAGCAUCAGCAACCUUCACCAGGGACCUGGGCUCCAGUGCCUUUGGGAGGAGAAACAAGGCUGACCAACUCCAAUAUGCUCUGAGAAGCAGUUCAGACAGUGGUUAGCAAAACCAGAAAGCACAGGGCUGUAUGUGGUGGGUGGCAGCUGCCAGGGAAUAGCACGGUCCCUAAAUUUUCUCUGCCUUAUACCAAAGCAAAAAUCCCAUUGGUUUCCUGGUGAGCCUUUCCUGGUUAAGGUUGGUCCACGGUUUUCCAUAGGUCUUUAAACUGAAAACAUGAAUAUCCCCUACAUGGCUAAGAAAGCUGCUCGCUUAGUUUAAGGGAUGCAGUUAUGGAACUGAAGGUCUUCGGCUCACACUUGGAGAUGAUCUGAGCUGCCAGAGGACAGCGUUGGACGCACGAGGAAUCAACGUGAAGCAGGGAUGGGGCUUGGGAUUUUAGCCCUUUGUCAGCAGAAACGGGGGCUGCCUCAGAGCAGGUUUUUUCCCUAUAGCUUUUGGCAUUUGCUGUAGGACAAACAGGAACAG
Molecule: long non-coding RNA, 2112 nt
Organism: Pezoporus occidentalis (night parrot)
Lineage: Eukaryota; Metazoa; Chordata; Aves; Psittaciformes; Psittacidae
Exons: 2
Source: RefSeq, a predicted model, not a curated record